CUUUAUUUCGAAAAAAUUACAGUGCUCUUAGCCAAUCAGAGUUGAGAAAUUUUUUUUGGUAUAUUAUUACGACCGUAAACAACACUGCCAAAUCAUAAUACACACCCCUGACGAUUGGCUUAAUUGAUCAUAUAGACUUGUAAAAGCAAUUAAGGCGGUGAAGUAACAUGUGUCAUAACAAAUAUCUUGAUGUUCAUGAAAUAUUUCAAAAGUAACUAUAUGGUGUUGCCUCCCGUUGCUCGAAUAUAUAUAUAUAUAUAUGUUCAUUAAAAUAAUGUUCAUUAAAAAUUGAAAAGCACUACAGUUCUGUUUCGAGAGGCCCUUUCUAGAUCCUCUCUCUUCAGGUGCAUCUCGAAACAGAACUGUAGUGCUUUUCAAUUUUUAAUGAACAUUCUUAUAUAUAUAUAUAUAUAUAUAUAUAUAUAUAUAUAUAUAUAUAUAUAUAUAUAUAUAUAUAUAUAUAUAUAUAUAUAUAUAUAUAUAUAUAUAUAUAUAUUAUAUACUAAACUUCCUGACCUACACCAACAACCAUCCAUGAACCUACAAAGAAUUAUUUCGUACUUGUUCACUUGGCUACCUUACAACAUUCUAACCAGCCUAUGGCAACUUACCUAUUUACUUCCCUUCCUAUUCCUAGUCUAGCAAGUAACAAUGUGGUUGCUAUAUCGGCAAACAUUUUUGUUAGUGUUCUGCUUUUGGCAUGCGUAUUUGCUCAUUAACUUGAUGUGUGAUUGUGUGAUCGUUAAAUUUGAAAUAGACCCUUCCAAAAAGUACGUCACAUUGGCUAUGGUGCCUCCUUUUCGUGGUUGAGAUGCUUGGAGUUAACUAAUCUCAAGCACACAAAAAUAUUUUUAUAGCCCAAAUUACAUACUAUCUGAAAGGGUGUAUUAGUUAACACAAUCACAUUGAAUGUUUGGGUUCUUCUGUUAUAUCAAGACCACCAGAAUUAUAAUCUUAAUUUUCUUAUUAAAUACCACCAGGGUGCCCCCCCUUCCUUGUUAAAGAUGCUCUGUAUUGUUAAUGUUUGGUAUGUAAGGUAAAGCAAUUGCGUCCAAUCCAAUUUGGGACUGAAAAAAAAAACUAAGCAAAGGUGACUAGUUACAAAUCGGCCGCUUAUGUUAGAUGUAUUAAAGCCCCAAGCCUCCUGAGCUAUUAUAAAAAGUCAAAGUUUAAUUCAAACACUUCAAGCCAAAAUUAUUGCCCUUUUGGCAAGGCGUAUUGUAUACGGAUUAUCUUGCCAUCAUGUGCACUUACAUUAAAAAAAACUGAAUUAGCUCCAAAACAGAGCAGAAUAUAACUAUGCCAUUACAAUACAGGAAAUCUGCUUAUAAAAGUGUUACAAAAAGGACAACUAUAACAAUAAUGUUACAAAGAGGACACUUGUGUUACAAAAAGGACACUUAGUCAUUCAAAGGACACUUAUGUUACUAAAAGGACACUUAUGUUACUAAAAGGACACUUAUGUUACUAAAAGGACACUUAUGUUACAAAAAGAAGAUCUACAAUGUUACAAAAAGGACGCUUAAGUUACAAAAAGGAAGAACAAAUGUUACAAAAAGGAUGCUUAUAUUACAAAAGGGAACAACCAUUGUUACCAAAAGGACUCAAUGUUACAAAAAGUAAUGUCUGAUGUUACAGAAAGGAAUGACCGGUGUUACAGAAAGGAUACUAUGUUACAAAAGGGACAUAUGUUGUUCUUUUUGUAACAUGAAAUGUUACAAAAAGGACCCUGUAAUGUUACAAUAAGGAACAUCGAUCUGAUCGUUCGUUCGUUCGUUCGUUCGUUCGUUCGUUCGUUCGUUCGUUCGUUCCUCCGUU
Paramuricea clavata is the source of this 1818-nucleotide non-coding RNA. NCBI's taxonomy places the organism in Eukaryota, Metazoa, Cnidaria, Anthozoa, Malacalcyonacea, Plexauridae. The record is from the annotation of a GenBank genome assembly.